RNAcentral lists this ribosomal RNA (472 nucleotides) under uncultured bacterium. Its description in RNAcentral is "partial 16S ribosomal RNA". It matches the Rfam family "Bacterial small subunit ribosomal RNA", at positions 28 to 507 of the family's 1533-position model. The record is from RNAcentral.
GACGAACGCUGGCGGCGUGCUUAACACAUGCAAGUCGAGCGGAAAGGCCCUUCGGGGUACUCGAGCGGCGAACGGGUGAGUAACACGUGAGUAAUCUGCCCUUGGCUUUGGGAUAACUACCGGAAACGGUGGCUAAUACCGGAUACGACAACCGUCUGCAUGGGCUGGUUGUGGAAAGUUUUUUCGGCCAGGGGGGUGCUCGCGGCCUAUCAGCUUGUUGGUGGGGUAAGGGCCUACCAAGGCUUCGACGGGUAGCCGGCCUGAGAGGGUGACCGGCCACACUGGGACUGAGACACGGCCAAGACUCCUACGGGGGGCAGCAGUGGGGAAUAUUGGACAAUGGGCGGAAGCCUGAUCCAGCAACGCCGCGGGAGGGAUGACGGCCUUCGGGUUGUAAACCUCUUUCAGUACCGACGAAGCGCCGAUGAUGGUGGUGACGGUAGGUACAGAAGAAGCACCGGCCAACUACGUG